GGACGAACGCUGGCGGCGUGCUUAACACAUGCAAGUCGAAUGGUAAGGCCCUUCGGGGUACACGAGUGGCGAACGGGUGAGUAACACGUGGGUGAUCUGCCCUGCACUUCGGGAUAAGCCUGGGAAACUGGGUCUAAUACCGGAUAGGACCAUGGACUUCACGGUUUGUGGUGGAAAGCUUUUGCGGUGUGGGAUGGGCCCGCGGCCUAUCAGCUUGUUGGUGGGGUAAUGGCCUACCAAGGCGACGACGGGUAGCCGGCCUGAGAGGGUGUCCGGCCACACUGGGACUGAGAUACGGCCCAGACUCCUACGGGAGGCAGCAGUGGGGAAUAUUGCACAAUGGGCGCAAGCCUGAUGCAGCGACGCCGCGUGAGGGAUGACGGCCUUCGGGUUGUAAACCUCUUUCAAUAGGGACGAAGCGCAAGUGACGGUACCUAUAGAAGAAGCACCGGCCAACUACGUG
Molecule: ribosomal RNA, 463 nt
Filed under: uncultured bacterium
Lineage: Bacteria
Description: bacterial SSU rRNA
Rfam family: Bacterial small subunit ribosomal RNA
Source: RNAcentral